RNAcentral lists this non-coding RNA (48 nucleotides) under Trichobilharzia regenti. The record is from RNAcentral. Lineage: Eukaryota; Metazoa; Platyhelminthes; Trematoda; Strigeidida; Schistosomatidae.
AUCCAGUGGGUGACGAGUGCUAAAUAGGACGAAAUACGCAUCCUGGAU